Molecule: ribosomal RNA, 560 nt
Filed under: Dictyocatenulata alba
Lineage: Eukaryota; Fungi; Ascomycota
Description: SSU rRNA
Rfam family: Bacterial small subunit ribosomal RNA
Source: RNAcentral
CUAAUUGCAUUAUAUGUAAUAAUGAUUAUGUCAUAUAAAAUUCUAAGCAUAAUUUUGAUAAUGACAAAAUAUGUCUAAAGGUCUUGACCAAUUCACGUGCCAGCAGUCGCGGUAACACGUGUAAGACUAGUGUUAUUCAUCUUUAAUAGGUUUAAAGGGUACCUAAACGGUAAAAUAAGCCAAAAAGGGACUAUUUUACUAGAGUUUAAUAAGAGGGGGUAGUACGGCAGGUGUAGUGAUGAAAUACAAUCAUAUCUGAGGGACUGUUAACGGCGAAAGCGAUCCUUUAUAUAAAAACUGACGUUGAGGGACGAAGGCUAUGCACCACCAAAAGGAUUAGAAACCCAAGUAGUCUUAGCAGACAAUGAUGAAUGCCAUAAACAAGAUUAAUUAAUUUUGUUUAUAAAUGAAAGUGUAAGCAUUUCACCUCAAGAGUAAUGUGGCAACGCAGAAACUGAAAUCAUUAGGCCGCUUCUGAAACCAGUAGUGAAGUAUGUUGUUUAAUUUGAUGACCCGCAAAUAACCUCACCACAAUUUGAAUAUUAUAUAUAUAUAUAUAU